GGGUUGUGAGGUUAAGCGACUAAGCGUACACGGUGGAUGCCCUGGCAGUCAGAGGCGAUGAAGGACGUGCUAAUCUGCGAUAAGCGCCGGUAAGGUGAUAUGAACCGUUAUAACCGGCGAUUUCCGAAUGGGGAAACCCAGUGUGAUUCGUCACACUAUCAUUAACUGAAUCCAUAGGUUAAUGAGGCGAACCGGGGGAACUGAAACAUCUAAGUACCCCGAGGAAAAGAAAUCAACCGAGAUUCCCCCAGUAGCGGCGAGCGAACGGGGAGGAGCCCAGAGCCUGAAUCAGCAUGUGUGUUAGUGGAAGCGUCUGGAAAGGCGCGCGAUACAGGGUGACAGCCCCGUACACAAAAGCGCAUGUGCUGUGAGCUCGAUGAGUAGGGCGGGACACGUGGUAUCCUGUCUGAAUAUGGGGGGACCAUCCUCCAAGGCUAAAUACUCCUGACUGACCGAUAGUGAACCAGUACCGUGAGGGAAAGGCGAAAAGAACCCCGGCGAGGGGAGUGAAAAAGAACCUGAAACCGUGUACGUACAAGCAGUGGGAGCCCCACCACUAAGCCAGUGGUGAACUCCACAUACGCAUCCUUUGCUGAGGAUACGGUUAACGGAGCGAAAGCGACGUUCAACCUCAAAAGAAGCAGAGGGGGCUUAGUGGUGGGGUGACUGCGUACCUUUUGUAUAAUGGGUCAGCGACUUAUAUUCUGUAGCAAGGUUAACCGCAUAGGGGAGCCGGAGGGAAACCGAGUCUUAA
This 754-nucleotide ribosomal RNA is filed under the name Salmonella enterica subsp. enterica serovar Mbandaka. RNAcentral's name for it is "partial 23S ribosomal RNA". It matches the Rfam family "Bacterial large subunit ribosomal RNA", at positions 1 to 687 of the family's 2925-position model. The record is from RNAcentral. Lineage: Bacteria; Pseudomonadati; Pseudomonadota; Gammaproteobacteria; Enterobacterales; Enterobacteriaceae.